AGGGGCGUCGCCAAGUUGGUUAAGGCAUCGGAUUUUGAUUCCGACAUGCGCAGGUUCGAAUCCUUCCGCCCCUGCCA
This 77-nucleotide transfer RNA is filed under the name Pelomonas sp. V22. RNAcentral's name for it is "tRNA-Gln". It matches the Rfam family "tRNA". From Rfam's summary of the family: Transfer RNA (tRNA) molecules are approximately 80 nucleotides in length. Their secondary structure includes four short double-helical elements and three loops (D, anti-codon, and T loops). RNAcentral also lists the same sequence under 6 other names. Lineage: Bacteria; Pseudomonadati; Pseudomonadota; Betaproteobacteria; Burkholderiales; Sphaerotilaceae. The record is from RNAcentral.